Molecule: long non-coding RNA, 362 nt
Organism: Oncorhynchus gorbuscha (pink salmon)
Lineage: Eukaryota; Metazoa; Chordata; Actinopteri; Salmoniformes; Salmonidae
Exons: 2
Source: RefSeq, a predicted model, not a curated record
CAAUGUUCAAGCAUUCUUCCUGGUUGGUUCAACUCUGAUGACAAUAAGGCGUGUUGUGAUUGGCGUCGCAUGCAGAUAGAGGGAGAUGGUGAACGUCAGUUCUCCCUAGUAUGAAAAUGUGAUGCAAGGGAUUUUGCCAUCGACAGCCAUCAACAUCGUUAAGCCCUGCACAACUAACCUGCUGUUUCCUAUUUAACAACAUAUAUUUACAUAUGUUAUAUUUUGUAUUGUAUUUUGUUCACCCAGUAUGAAAAUGUGAUGCAAGGAAUUUUACUAUUGACAGCCAUCAACAAUGUUAAGCUCUGCACAAAUAACGUGCUGUUUCAUAUUUAACAACAUAAAUAAAUAAUGCUCAACUGGAA